GAUGAACGCUGACAGAAUGCUUAACACAUGCAAGUCUUGGCGAAAGCGUGGUUGCACAGCCCUGCCAAGGCGGGAGGGGGAGGAAACGGGAAAGAACCUUCCCCUCCGUCAAGGAAUAACAACGGAAAAGGCCGGAAAAGCCCGGGAAAGGUAAGCCGAACCAUGGCCCGGCUGAAUAAAAAAAGAUGCUGCAGGAGAGCCUUGCGUCCUAUUGGCUGGUUGGUGGGGUAACGGCCAACCAAGGCGAUGAUAGGUAGCCGGCCUGAGAGGGUGGACGGCCACAAGGGGACUGAGAUACGGCCCUUACUCCUACGGGAGGCAGCAGUGGGGAAUAUUGGACAAUGGGGGCAACCCUGAUCCAGCAAUUCUGUGUGCACGAUGAAGGUUUUCGGAUUGUAAAGUGCUUUCAGCAGGGAAGAAAAAAAUGACGGUACCUGCAGAAGAAGCGACGGCUAAAUACGUG
This 463-nucleotide ribosomal RNA is filed under the name uncultured bacterium. Its description in RNAcentral is "partial 16S ribosomal RNA". It matches the Rfam family "Bacterial small subunit ribosomal RNA", at positions 28 to 507 of the family's 1533-position model. The record is from RNAcentral.